AAUAUUGUACAAUGGGCGAAAGCCUGAUCCAGCCAUGCUGCGUGUGUGAAGAAGCUCUUCGUAUUGUAAAUCUCUUUAAGUGCGCAGGAAGGUCAGUAAGUUAAUACGUUACUGUUUUGACGUUACCGACAGAAUAAGCUACUGCUAACUUCGUUCCAGCACGCGCGGUAAUACGAAGGGUGAAAGCGUUAAUCGGAAUUACGGGGUGUAAAGAGCGCGUAGGUGGUUUGUCAAGUUGGAAGUGACAGCCCCGGGCUCAACCUGGGGAUUGACUUCAAAACUGACGAGCUAGAGUACGGUAGAGGGUAGUGGAAUUUCCUGUGUAGCGGUGAAAUGCGUAGAUAUAGGAAGGAACAUCAGUGGCGAAGGCGACUACCUGGACUGAUACUGACACUGAGGUGCGAAAGCGUGGGGAGCAAACAGG
Molecule: ribosomal RNA, 424 nt
Filed under: uncultured bacterium
Lineage: Bacteria
Description: partial 16S ribosomal RNA
Rfam family: Bacterial small subunit ribosomal RNA
Source: RNAcentral